This 500-nucleotide ribosomal RNA is filed under the name uncultured bacterium. RNAcentral's name for it is "bacterial SSU rRNA". It matches the Rfam family "Bacterial small subunit ribosomal RNA", at positions 8 to 518 of the family's 1533-position model. The record is from RNAcentral.
AGAGUUUGAUCCUGGCUUAGGACGAACGCUGGCGGCGUGCUUAACACAUGCAAGUCGAACGAUGACGAUGGUGCUUGCACCGUCUGAUUAGUGGCGAACGGGUGAGUAACACGUGAGUAACCUGCCCUCCUCUUCGGGAUAACCGCCGGAAACGGUGGCUAAUACCGGAUAUGAAUGCCUGCCGCAUGGUGGGUGUUGGAAAGAUUUAUCGGUGGGGGAUGGACUCGCGGCCUAUCAGUUUGUUGGUGAGGUAAUGGCUCACCAAGGCGAUGACGGGUAGCCGGCCUGGGAGGGCGACCGGCCACACUGGGACUGAGACACGGCCCAGACUCCUACGGGAGGCAGCAGUGGGGAAUAUUGCACAAUGGGCGAGAGCCUGAAUGCAGCGACGCCGCGUGGGGGAUGACGGCCUUCGGGUUGUAAACCUCUUUCAGUAGGGAAGAAGCGAGAGUGACGGUACCUGCAGAAGAAGCGCCGGCUAACUACGUGCCAGCCGCCGC